AGUCAUAUGCUUGUCUCAAAGAUUAAGCCAUGCAUGUCUAAGUACAGGCCGAUCUACGGCUAAACCGCGGACGGCUCAUUAAAUCAGAUAUAAUUCAUUGGAUCUGUAGAACCCCACUUACUUGGAUAACUGUGGUAAUUCUAGAGCUAAUACAUGCCUUUAGAGACUCUGACAGCAAUGGAAGAGCGCUUUUAUUAGUUCCAAAACCUUUCGGACCUUGGGCCGUAAGACUUGGUGAAUCUAGAUAACCUCUGCUGAGCGCACGUCCUCGCGACGGCGCCGCAUCUUGCAAGUGUCUGCCUUAUCAGCUCUCGAUUGUAGGUUAAACGCCUACAAUGGCUAUAACGGGUAACGGGGAAUCAGGGUUCGAUUCCGGAGAGGGAGCCUGAGAAACGGCUACCACAUCUAAGGAAGGCAGCAGGCGCGCAAAUUACCCACUCCCGGCACGGGGAGGUAGUGACGAAAAAUACUGUAGCGAGACUCCAUCGAGGCUUCGCUAUUGGAAUGAGUACACUUUAAAUCCUUGUACGAGGAUCGAGUGGAGGGCAAGUCUGGUGCCAGCCGCCGCGGUAAUUCCAGCUCCAUUAGCGUAUAUUAAAGUUGUUGCGGUUAAAACGCUCGUAGUUGGCUCUCUGUUCUGGACUGGCGGUGCACCUUAGCGGUGCUACUGUACAGCUCCGAGCUACACACCCGCCGGCUCGCCCGGGGUGCUCUUCACCGAGUGUCCCUAGUGGCCGGCACGUUUACCUUGAAAAAAUUAGAGUGCUCAGAGCAGGCUAACCUAACAGCCUGAAUGGUGGUGCAUGGAAUGAUGGAAUAGGACCUCGGUUCUAUUUUGUUGGUUUUCGGAACCCGAGGUAAUGAUUAAGAGAAGCAGACGGGGGCAUUCGUACUGCGACGAUAGAGGUGAAAUUCUUAGACCGUCGCAUGACGAGCUACUGCGAAAGCAUUUGCCAAGGAUGUUUUCAUUAAUCAAGAACGAAAGUUAGAGGUUCGAAGGCGAUCAGAUACCGCCCUAGUUCUAACCAUAAACGAUGCUGACUAGCGAUCCGCCGCAGUUAUUCCCAUGACCCGGCGGGGAGCUUCCGGGAAACCAAAGUAUUUGAGUUCCGGGGGAAGUAUGGUUGCAAAGCUGAAACUUAAAGGAAUUGACGGAAGGGCACCACCAGGAGUGGAGCCUGCGGCUCAAUUUGACUCAACACGGGGAACCUUACCAGGCCCAGACACUGGAAGGAUUGACAGAUUGAAAGCUCUUUCUCGAUUCGGUGGGUGGUGGUGCAUGGCCGUUCUUAGUUGGUGGAGUGAUUUGUCUGGUUAAUUCCGAUAACGAACGAGACUCUAGCCUAUUAACUAGUCGGUGGAUAUACAAGUUCCAUAUUAUGGUACAAAUACCGUGAACGUAGUUCUUCUGACUCGGCGGUCCUGGUUGUGGGUAAGUGCGGCCUGCUUGCUCGGUGUGGAGUUCAUGCGUACUUCGGUGCGCGCUUCCCCGAGUCUGUAGUGUUCGUAUCUCGCUCAUUGCCACCCGUCGGGAAGGUCGUGACUGCAGAUCUGAUCGGUGUCUAAACCGCAGCUUCUUCUUAGAGGGAUAAGCGGCAGCAAAUAAAAUACUAGCCGCACGAGAGAUUGAGCCAUAACAGGUCUGUGAUGCCCUUAGAUGUUCUGGGCCGCACGCGCGCUACAAUGGAGAGUUCAGCAAGCUCUUCCUGCUCCGACAGGAGUGGGUAACCUUCUGAAAGCUGUCCUUAAAGGGGAUUGGGGCUUGCAAAUAUGUCCCAUGAACGAGGAAUUCCCAGUAGGCGCAAUUCACCAGAUUGCACCGAUUUAGUCCCUGCCCUUUGUACACACCGCCCGUCGCUACUACCGAUUGAAUGGUCUAGUGAGGGCAUCGGACUGGCGCUCUUGGAGUGGUCGCCUUGACUUCAUACGUGUAAGGCCUUCGGGUCCCUGCACGAGGUCCUGGUGCCGCCUCGAGUCGACGGAAAGAUGUCCGAGCUGGGUCAUUUAGAGGAAGUAAAAGUCGUAACAAGGUUUCCGU
This 2038-nucleotide ribosomal RNA is filed under the name Gennadas talismani. RNAcentral describes it as "SSU rRNA". It matches the Rfam family "Eukaryotic small subunit ribosomal RNA". Lineage: Eukaryota; Metazoa; Arthropoda; Malacostraca; Decapoda; Benthesicymidae. The record is from RNAcentral.